UCAGCAAAUUUUCUGGCCACAGAUCAUAGGUCUGUCGGCUGAAAUGGUCGCAUGACGAUCGUGAGCUUGCAUCUGGUGGAAACGACAACCAGCUUUUGCUGAUUGGGGGAUGAUACAUCUUCGGUAAUUCUUGUCCGGUUUAUUGAUGAGAAGCAGAUGGAGUUCUGAUACUUUGUUGGAGUGGAAGCGCCUAAGAUGAUUUUUCAACUGUCAAGAUCUGCAAACUCUUGAGACCGCCUGUGCCAGCAAAGACUUGUCCCAGCAGUAGAGGAAAAUGACUAAGCUGCAGACAGUUUGGAUUGAUAACAUCAAUGCAUCUAACUGUGAAGAACUUUUCGAUGCCCUCUCAUAUAUGCCACUACUGUCAAGCGUACUCCUCUCUUCAAGUGAUGAGAAGGAGACACUUUCUUUCCAAAAGCUCAAGCCAAUUUCAACCAGGCUUCACAGACUGAUUGUCAGAGGCGGCUGGGCCCAUGAGACAUUCAACUGCCCGAUAUUCAUGGAUCCAAGUUUUCCUACUGAAACAUUUGCCGGAGUAGAAGAGCAGAAUCAGAGCGAUGACGUGCCGUCCCGUGCCAGAGGAGAAGAGCAGAAUCAGAGCGAUGUCAUGUCGUGCUGUCACAUGCCUAAGUGGCUGCCUUGCCGGAGUAGCCUGGGGGGGAGGUGCUGGAUGGGG
Long non-coding RNA from Lolium perenne, 676 nucleotides. RefSeq lists it as uncharacterized. The record is from RefSeq and is a predicted model, not a curated record. NCBI's taxonomy places the organism in Eukaryota, Viridiplantae, Streptophyta, Magnoliopsida, Poales, Poaceae.